This 164-nucleotide ribosomal RNA is filed under the name Kalinia obtusiflora. RNAcentral's name for it is "5.8S ribosomal RNA". It matches the Rfam family "5.8S ribosomal RNA". From Rfam's summary of the family: 5.8S ribosomal RNA (5.8S rRNA) is a component of the large subunit of the eukaryotic ribosome. It is transcribed by RNA polymerase I as part of the 45S precursor that also contains 18S and 28S rRNA. Functionally, it is thought that 5.8S rRNA may be involved in ribosome translocation. The record is from RNAcentral. Lineage: Eukaryota; Viridiplantae; Streptophyta; Magnoliopsida; Poales; Poaceae.
CACAUGACUCUCGGCAACGGAUAUCUAGGCUCUUGCAUCGAUGAAGAACGUAGCAAAAUGCGAUACCUGGUGUGAAUUGCAGAAUCCCGUGAACCAUCGAGUUUUUGAACGCAAGUUGCGCCCGAGGCCUUCUGGCCGAGGGCACGUCUGCCUGGGCGUCACGC